Molecule: long non-coding RNA, 432 nt
Organism: Clupea harengus (Atlantic herring)
Lineage: Eukaryota; Metazoa; Chordata; Actinopteri; Clupeiformes; Clupeidae
Gene: pgpep1l
Exons: 4
Source: RefSeq, a predicted model, not a curated record
AGUGGGUAACGGCCAUGAGGCAGAGUUUGAUUCGCAACAGAAUCACACCAACAAAUUCACUUUCUCCUUGGGUCUGCUGCCAUAGGUUCAUUUGGUGAAGCUGUAGUUGUGACAGGGUUUGGUCCUUUCAGUCGGUACUUGGUAAACCCCAGUUGGACUGCAGCACAGGGUUUAAAAGCUGAGGGCCUGGAGGAGGAUAUUGAGAUUUAUAUUAAAGAAAUUCCAGUGAGCUAUUCCAGCACAAAGCAGAUCUUGUCAGAAAUCUGGGAUAAAGUUCAACCAGAGGUGAUGGCUCAGAAUGGGGAAUAGCCCCCUGGGUCUAAAGGCAUCACUCUGGAACAGACAGGGAAGAAUUAUGGUUAUGAGGCCAAAGAUGUGUGUGGCCAGUGUCCCCUCAGUCACUGCUGUGUUGAGGGAGGUGUAGACAAACUG